RNA transcript from Drosophila obscura, 4412 nucleotides. It is a transcript of the gene named disintegrin and metalloproteinase domain-containing protein 10, with no coding region annotated. NCBI's taxonomy places the organism in Eukaryota, Metazoa, Arthropoda, Insecta, Diptera, Drosophilidae. The record is from RefSeq and is a predicted model, not a curated record. The transcript is spliced from 12 exons.
AAAAAUACAAAGAAAUAAAAGUGAAACAAAAAAUAUAAGAAUAAAAUACUUGGUGCCCCGAUCCGUGCGUGUCGAUGUGUGAGUGCUAAAACUGGUUAAUGGCAGGGCCGCGAAAAAUCCCCCAUUAAGCCAGCCAGCCGCAGAGCCCCACAAAAGGUGCCCCCCAGUCCCAAAAAUAGAGCAUACUGCCACAAGAGUUACGUGAAAAUCCCCGCUCUAACCACCACCAACAACAACAACAAAAACAACAAAAAGAGAAUCUGUUGAUUCCCCCUGCAACCACAUUGGAUCCCAGUCGCUGCAUAUAAUGUCCUCAAAAUGUGCUUUCAACAUUGCAUUCGUGUCGAUCAUUUUCAUCAUCAUCGUAAAUGGUUACGCAAAAGAUAUUUCUGGAGUUAAAAGAGGUCAUGAACGACUUAACGAAUACAUAUCCCACUACGAAACACUCGACUAUGAUCACGAGCACAUCCGAGCUAGUCACAACAGGGCGCGACGAUCAGUGACCAAAGAUCAUUAUGUACAUUUAAAGUUUGCAGCACAUGGAAGAGACUUCCAUCUUAGAUUAAAACGUGAUUUAAAUACAUUUAGCGAUAAGUUAGACUUUUAUGAUAGCAACGGCCCCAUUGAUGUCUCCACGGAUCAUAUCUAUGCGGGCGAAGUGAUAGGGGAUCGUAAUAGUUAUGUAUUUGGUUCCAUACACAAUGGGGUAUUCGAGGGUAAAAUUAUAACGGAACGUGAUGCCUAUUAUGUUGAACAUGCCAAACAUUAUUUUCACAUAAAUCGCACUGCGAUUUCAUCAUCCACAACGGAGUCGUUCACAGUCACACCAAGGAGCAGGAGCAGCACCGGCACCGGCACCAGCACCAGUACAGGAGCACGGCCUCUGGCCUCUCGUAACUCUAACAAAUACACAAAUAACUAUAGCAACAACAAUAACAACAGUAACAACAACAACAGAACUGCCGUUGAUAAUAAGACAGAAAACUUCAUAAAGAAAAUUGCUGAAUCCACAACGACGACAACGACAACGACGACGACAGUGGCGCCCCCUGAGCUGUCUGAGGAGUCAACAACAACUGCAACAACAUUCCCACCCACAACAACGGAACAACACGUCGAGGAGCAGCCGCAGCAGCAGCAGGAUAAUGCCGAGGACGAACUUGAUUUUCACUCCAUUAUCUACAAGGAGUCACAUGUUGAGGAUGCCUACGAGAAUGUGCGCGAAGGUCACGUGGGCGGCUGCGGCAUCACGGACGAGGUCUCACAAUGGAUGGAGAAUAUACAAAAUUCAGCUGUCGAAGAGCUGCCCGAGCCCAUGUCAAAGGACUACCAAAAGCUCCACCGGAAGCAGCUGCACAAAAAGUCCGCUCCACAGCAUCAGCAGCAGCAGCAACAGCAGCAGCAUCCACCGAAGAAAUACAUGAGCGGCGAGGACGAUUUCAAAUUCCCCCAUCAGAAAUACUCGAAGGAGGCCAACUUUGCUGACGGUGCAUUCUACGAUCCGUCCACUGGACGUCGCCUGGGCUCGUCCGCCAAUGUGGCCGAUUGGCAUGAGUUCGUCCAUGAGCGGGUGCGUCGGGCCAGCGAUGGCGGUGCCGGCUCUUCCGGCGGCUCGGGACCGGCAAGAGGUCGCGAGGACAACAAGAAUACCUGUUCGCUCUACAUACAAACGGAUCCAUUGAUUUGGCGCCACAUACGCGAGGGAAUUGCCGACCAUGAUCGUGGUCGAAAGUAUGAGGUGGACGUGAAAACGCGCGAGGAAAUCACAUCGCUGAUUGCACAUCAUGUGACGGCCGUUAAUUACAUUUACCGCAACACAAAGUUCGACGGACGGACCGAGCAUCGGAACAUACGCUUUGAGGUGCAACGCAUUAAAAUCGACGAUGAUUCCGCCUGUCGCAACUCGUACAACGGGCCCCACAACGCCUUCUGCAAUGAGCACAUGGAUGUGUCCAAUUUCUUGAAUCUCCACUCGCUGGAGGAUCACUCGGACUUCUGUCUGGCCUAUGUCUUCACCUACAGAGACUUUACUGGCGGCACUUUGGGUCUGGCGUGGGUGGCCAGCGCAUCGGGCGCCUCUGGCGGCAUCUGUGAGAAGUACAAGACCUACACGGAGACGGUGGGGGGACAGUACCAGAGCACCAAGCGAUCCCUAAACACGGGCAUCAUCACCUUCGUCAACUACAACAGUCGGGUGCCGCCCAAAGUGUCACAGCUGACAUUGGCCCACGAGAUUGGGCAUAAUUUUGGAUCACCUCACGACUACCCGCAGGAAUGCCGUCCGGGCGGUCUGAAUGGCAACUUCAUUAUGUUCGCCAGCGCCACCUCUGGGGAUCGGCCCAACAACUCCAAGUUCUCACCCUGCUCCAUUCGGAAUAUAUCCAAUGUGCUGGAUGUGCUGGUGGGCAACACGAAGCGGGACUGCUUCAAGGCCUCGGAGGGCGCCUUCUGCGGCAACAAGAUCGUGGAGUCCGGCGAGGAGUGCGACUGCGGCUUCAACGAGGAGGAGUGCAAGGACAACUGCUGCUAUCCGCGACUGAUCAGCGAGUACGACCAGUCACUGAACUCCAGUGCCAAGGGCUGCACCCGCCGUGCCAAGACGGAGUGCUCGCCGUCGCAGGGCCCCUGCUGUCUGGCCAACUCGUGCACCUUUGUGCCGACGCGCUACCACCAGAAGUGCAAGGAGGAGACCGAGUGCAGCUGGUCGAGCACCUGCAACGGCACCACGGCCGAGUGCCCGGAGCCCCGGCAUCGGGAUGACAAGACGAUGUGCAACAAUGGCACCGCACUGUGCAUCCGCGGCGAGUGCAGCGGCUCGCCGUGCCUGCUCUGGAACAUGACCAAGUGCUUCCUCACCUCGUUCACGCUGCCGCACGCCGACAAGCGAAAGCUGUGCGACCUGGCCUGCCAGGAUGGCAACGACACCGCCACCUGUCGCAGCACCAGCGAGUUUGCCGAGAAGUACAACAUCCAGAAGGGCGGCAUCAGCCUGCAGCCCGGCUCGCCCUGCGACAACUUCCAGGGCUACUGCGAUGUCUUUCUCAAGUGUCGCGCCGUCGAUGCGGACGGGCCGCUGGUGCGGCUGAAGAAUCUGCUGCUGAAUCGCGAGACCCUCCUGACGGUGGCCGAAUGGGUCACCGAGAACUGGUACUUGGUGGUGCUACUGGGCGUCGGCUUCAUUGUGGUCAUGGGCGCGUUCAUCAAGUGCUGUGCCGUGCACACGCCCAGCUCCAAUCCUAAGAAGCGACGUGCUCGUCGCAUCAGCGAAACGCUCAGGGCCCCCAUGAACACGCUGCGAAGAAUGCAGCGACAUCCACAUCAGCGUGGAGCCGGGCCACGCAGCAUCCCACCGCCGGCCCACGAGGCCCAGCACUAUCCAAGAGGUGGCGAUGGACGCGGCGGAGGCGGCGGUGGUCGCCACGUAGGCUCUCGAUCGCACCACCAGGCGCAUCCGCAUGACUGGGAUCGGCAUCAGGGCGGCCAUUCGAUUGUGCCGCUGCCCACAGGCGGCGGUCAUGCCAGUCGCAGCUCUGCCGCGAAUCAGACGCGACGCAGCGAUGGACGCGGCACCCGCUCCACGAGCAGCGGCAGGCCCGUCGCAGCGUCAGCUUCAGCAGCAGCAGCGGCAGUAGGCGGAGCUGGAGGAAGCCGGGCACAUGGCGGGUAUGGAGCUGAGCAGGCGAUACCGGGUUCCAUUGGUGGUGGUGUGCAGGCGGCCAUUAGCAGCGGCGGUGUGGUGGCGCGGGCCCAGCUGCCGCUGCCUUUGCCGCCGGCCAAUGCACUGCAGCAGCAACAACAACAACAGCAAGCACUCUCACCGCAACAGCCACUGCCAGCGUUCUAUGCGCCGAAAGACUUACCACCACGCAAUAAGUCCCGCUCAUCACGUACCAACAACACCAACAACACCUCCACCACAUCCACCGCGGCAGCCGGCACAGGGGCGGGUGCGGGUGCGGGGGCGGCCAGUAGUGGCAAGAGCAGCAGUAAGGGCAGCAAGAGUGCCAAAGCCAAAGACACAAAGCAACACAGCGGCAGUCGCAGCAGCAGCAAAGAGAAGGCCGCCAAGCCAGUGCGCCGCAAUAUCGUUUACUAGCGCGGAAAGAGCGGAGCGGAGCGGAGCGGAACACACGAUCACACGGCCAUAAACUGAAGACAUACAUUUAAACCCAGAAAGACAGAUCCGAUCCGAUCCGAUCAGCUCGGCUCGGCUCGGCUCAGAUCCCGAACCCAACGAAUGCUCGCCCGUGCGCUUUUUCAACAUCCACCCAACCCCCACAGUCAUCGAUCCAUCAGCCGUUGCCUCCCCACCACUUUAAACCAUAAAUGAUACAAACAUUUUGACAGAAUCAAUUGCCGUCGCGCCGCCGCUGCUACAAGUAAGCUUUAGUCGGCCGACAUCGCUGCACGAA